RNAcentral lists this ribosomal RNA (375 nucleotides) under uncultured bacterium. Its description in RNAcentral is "bacterial SSU rRNA". It matches the Rfam family "Bacterial small subunit ribosomal RNA", at positions 523 to 898 of the family's 1533-position model. The record is from RNAcentral.
AUACGUAGGUGGCGAGCGUUGUCCGGAAUUACUGGGCGUAAAGGGUGCGUAGGCGGUCUGUUAAGUCAGAUGUGAAAGACCCGGGCUCAACCCGGGAUGUGCAUCUGAGACUGGCGGACUUGAGUGCAGGAGAGGGAAGUGGAAUUUCUAGUGUAGCGGUGGAAUGCGUAGAUAUUAGGAAGAACACCAGUGGCGAAGGCGGCUUCCUGGACUGUAACUGACGCUGAGGCACGAAAGCGUGGGGAGCAAACAGGAUUAGAUACCCUGGUAGUCCACGCUGUAAACGAUGGAUACUAGGUGUAGGUAUCGUAGGAUAUCUGUGCCGGAGUUAACGCAAUAAGUAUCCCGCCUGGGGAGUACGGCCGCAAGGUUGAA